This 492-nucleotide ribosomal RNA is filed under the name uncultured bacterium. Its description in RNAcentral is "partial 16S ribosomal RNA". It matches the Rfam family "Bacterial small subunit ribosomal RNA", at positions 29 to 507 of the family's 1533-position model. The record is from RNAcentral.
AGUGAACGCUGGCGGUAGGCCUAACACAUGCGAGUCGAACGGCAGCACAGUAAGAGCUUGCUCUUACGGGUGGCGAGUGGCGGACGGGUGAGGAAUACAUCGGAAUCUACUUUUUCGUGGGGGAUAACGUAGGGAAACUUACGCUAAUACCGCAUACGACCUACGGGUGAAAGCAGGGGAUCUUCGGACCUUGCGCGAUUGAAUGAGCCGAUGUCGGAUUAGCUAGUUGGCGGGGUAAAGGCCCACCAAGGCGACGAUCCGUAGCUGGUCUGAGAGGAUGAUCAGCCAAACUGGAACUGAGACACGGUCCAGACUCCUACGGGAGGCAGCAGUGGGGAAUAUUGGACAAUGGGCGCAAGCCUGAUCCAGCCAUACCGCGUGGGUGAAGAAGGACUUCGGGUUGUAAAGCCCUUUUGUUGGGAAAGAAAAGCAGCAGGUUAAUACCCCGCUGUUCUGACGGUACCCAAAGAAUAAGCACCGGCUAACUUCGUG